CCUACGGGUGGCAGCAGUGGGGAAUAUUGGGCAAUGGGCGCAAGCCUGACCCAGCAACGCCGCGUGAAGGAAGAAGGCUUUCGGGUUGUAAACUUCUUUUAAGAGGGAAUAGCAGAAGACGGUACCUCUUGAAUAAGCCACGUCUAACUACGUGCCAGCAGCCGCGGUAAUACGUAGGUGGCAAGCGUUGUCCGGAUUUACUGGGUGUAAAGGGCCUGCAGCCUGGAAGACGAGUCAGAUGUGAAAUCCCGCGGCUCAACCGCGGAAAUGCAUGGGAAACUGUGUGUCUUGAGUACCGGAGAGGUCAUGGGAAUUCCUUGUGUAGCGGGAAAAUGCGUAGAUAUAAGGAAGAACACCAGUGGCGAAGGCGGAUGACUGGACGGCAACUGACGGUGAGGCGCGAAAGCGUGGGGAGCAAACAGGAUUAGAUACCCGUGUAGUC
This 442-nucleotide ribosomal RNA is filed under the name uncultured bacterium. RNAcentral's name for it is "partial 16S ribosomal RNA". It matches the Rfam family "Bacterial small subunit ribosomal RNA", at positions 338 to 795 of the family's 1533-position model. The record is from RNAcentral.